This 425-nucleotide unclassified non-coding RNA is filed under the name Hevea brasiliensis (rubber tree). The record is from RNAcentral. Lineage: Eukaryota; Viridiplantae; Streptophyta; Magnoliopsida; Malpighiales; Euphorbiaceae.
CCUUGUGAGUGACGGUGAGUGCAUCUGUAAUAUCCUCUUGGAAAAUUAGCUCCGAGAAUAUCUUUCUGGCCAUAUUUUCUCCAGUUAUAACCAUCUUCAAGUGGCCCUUCCAGACCCGUCACUGAACAGACCUUCACUUGCUCGGUCCAUCUGGGUUCUGUCUUUCUCUUCUUGUAAACAUCUUUUUGACAUUGAUCCUUGCAAUCUUGAUCUGAGACAUCACUCUUAGGGCUGCUGUUGGCAAAGUAGUUUGGUGAUUCCAAUGUACUAAUUGUGGGCUUAAUUUCAACCGCACAACCACCCCAAUUUAGCAGGAAAAGUGCUUUUUCAUAGGAGGAAAGUAUCUGCUCAACAAGGAAUUGACGCGUAUCAAGCGACGAAAUAGAGUUAAGAUUAUUUCUUAGCAGUUCUGCUAGCUCUUUCCC